AUUGAACGCUGGCGGCAGGCCUAACACAUGCAAGUCGAGCGGAUGAAGGGAGCUUGCUCCUGGAUUCAGCGGCGGACGGGUGGGUAAUGCCUAGGAAUCUGCCUGGUAGUGGGGGAUAACGUCCGGAAACGGGCGCUAAUACCGCAUACGUCCUGAGGGAGAAGGUGGGGGAUCUUCGGACCUCACGCUAUCAGAUGAGCCUAGGUCGGAUUAGCUAGUUGGUGGGGUAAAGGCCUACCAAGGCGACGAUCCGUAACUGGUCUGAGAGGAUGAUCAGUCACACUGGAACUGAGACACGGUCCAGACUCCUACGGGAGGCAGCAGUGGGGAAUAUUGGACAAUGGGCGAAAGCCUGAUCCAGCCAUGCCGCGUGUGUGAAGAAGGUCUUCGGAUUGUAAAGCACUUUAAGUUGGGAGGAAGGGCAGUAAGUUAAUACCUUGCUGUUUUGACGUUACCAACAGAAUAAGCACCGGCUAACUUCGUG
RNAcentral lists this ribosomal RNA (484 nucleotides) under uncultured bacterium. RNAcentral describes it as "partial 16S ribosomal RNA". It matches the Rfam family "Bacterial small subunit ribosomal RNA", at positions 30 to 507 of the family's 1533-position model. The record is from RNAcentral.